CCUGGUGGUUUUCAUUCUUGACAUUCUCCAUCCUUGAAGCUGACAAAGGGAAAUGUCUCUCUUCUUGGCCUUAAGCUUUAUUUUACUUUGCAAAAGCAUCAGGUGUAACCAAGUGAUCCAGAGUCCCCCAGUUCAGGAGGUGGCAUUGGGCAGGGAAGUGACUCUUUUCUGUGAAUAUAAGACUAAUCAUGGAAACCCAGACUUAUAUUGGUACCGAGUAAAGCCAGAUUCUUCCAUCCAGUUUGUCUUGUACAGGGAUAAUAGCAGGUUUGUAAAUGCACCUUUUGCCAAAGAUCGAUUUUCUGUGCAACGUAAGACCCGGACUACAUUCAACUUGGUGAUCUCUGAGGUGGAGCCUGGAGAUGGUGGUCUUUAUUACUGUGCCUUGGACACAGAGGCACAGGUGUUCUGGGGAGCUUUACACAAACCCCUGCUGGCCCUGAUCAGAACUCUAAGGGGAAUCCCCUGUCACUCAGUGGGAAGCUCAGACCUACUGUGAAUGAGGGGAACUCAGUAACUCAAAGGAAGUGGCAUCAAGUGCAGACCACUCAUUUUGCAGAUGAGGAAACAGAACCAGACAGAUUGUAUGAUUUGCCCAAAGUCAUAUAGUUGGAAGCCCUGGGUUUUGGAACAUAGGUUUUCUGACUCCAAUUCUAAUGCUCUUGAAUUAUAACUCCUACUUUUCUAAAUGAGAUAACUGAGACCUGGAAAAGUCAGACUAUUAACCCAAGGCCACACAAAUAUAAGAAGAAAAGACAGAUCUUCUGAUUCCUCCUAGUCCAGUGCUUUCCCACCAUGAUUUUACCUAGACAAAAGAGUUCAUUUGACAUCUUUUAGUCUCUUUUCAUUUCAGUCCCAUUGGUAUUUCCCCUACUUUCCUGUGUUGGGAAUUAAGAUGUAUUUUAAAAAAAUGAAAUGAGAGUAUCUGGGUGGCACAGUGGAGAGAGUGCCAGGU
Monodelphis domestica (gray short-tailed opossum) is the source of this 955-nucleotide non-coding RNA. NCBI's taxonomy places the organism in Eukaryota, Metazoa, Chordata, Mammalia, Didelphimorphia, Didelphidae. The record is from the annotation of a RefSeq genome assembly.